GACGAACGCUGGCGGCGUGCCUAAUACAUGCAAGUCGAACGGUCUUUUCUAUGGAAGCUUGCUUCCGCUGAGAAGAUAGUGGCGAACGGGUGAGUAACACGUGGGUAACCUGCCUGGUAGAGGGGGAUAGCCUUCCGAAAGGAAGAUUAAUACCGCAUAACAUGAUUUCAGGGCAUCCUGAAACCAUCAAAGGAGCAAUCCGCUAUCAGAUGGGCCCGCGUCCCAUUAGCUAGUUGGUGAGGUAACGGCUCACCAAGCGACGAU
This 264-nucleotide ribosomal RNA is filed under the name uncultured bacterium. RNAcentral describes it as "partial 16S ribosomal RNA". It matches the Rfam family "Bacterial small subunit ribosomal RNA", at positions 28 to 280 of the family's 1533-position model. The record is from RNAcentral.